ACCCCACCGUAAUCUUGUUAUGCAAAUAGGCUUUCCACUUGGCCGUCGCCGUCUUGUCCACUCGUUUCUGUGCACAUGGCUGGCAAAAAGAGAAGAUGGAGCUGCCAUUUAGAACAUGCCUAAUCCCAGCUUCAUCUUGCUGAGCAAAAAUGAAGGAGCCUGGACCCAACUUUGUUACUGUGAGUAAGGGUCUUCAUUCAUUCAAGAUGGCAUUUGUUAAGCGCCUACUACAAACCUUGGAAAUCAAGAAAGUUCUGGAAUGAUGAAGCUGUUCAUGCCAAGACCGAAAGUGCUGGCCCAGUAUGAGUCCAUUCAGUUCAUGCUGUGACAAUUUUCUUGGAACUCCUUUUUAUUGUUAGUUCUCAUUUGUUUCCAUAUUUAGUGAACGUACAUUUAAUUGCAAAGCUGUCAUUAAUAAAAAUUCUUAUAGUAUCUCA
RNAcentral lists this small RNA (437 nucleotides) under Pongo abelii (Sumatran orangutan). RNAcentral's name for it is "processed transcript". The record is from RNAcentral. Lineage: Eukaryota; Metazoa; Chordata; Mammalia; Primates; Hominidae.